UUUCAUUUCAUUUGCAAUUGGAAACAAGGAAAGCAGGCUGUUCAUUACAUAUUAUUUCUAAGAAAACGUUCAGGUGUUCAACAACACAAAAAUAUAAGAACACAAAAGUAGUUGCUGAAUUUUCAUAUCAUCUUCUCCUUCCUUGAUAGCUAAGUGAUGGCAUAAACGUUUUGGAGUGUUGUCACCCUAUUGUAUGGCUGGUUUUGAAAGCAUAGAGCUGGGAUUCUAAUAAGGUGGUCUAGAGAUUAAGGAUUAGCAUCAGCAUUACGACGAGUUCAUUUGGGUUUUAUAUUGGCAACUUAAGGUACAGAUAGUCGGUUUGGCGAUCCUUCAGCAUAGGACUUUCACUCAGCUGUCUUGGGAGCUCCGUCGUUCCGGAGCCUAGAUUUUGGUACAGACUUACUGAUAUGCAUAUAUAUAUAUGUUUUUGCCCAGGGGUACGACGAGGCCCUGUCCCGUCAUAUGUUACUGUUGAUACUCUUAGAGGUCUGUAGACAUGUAUGUGGGUGGUGUACAGGUUUGAUCAGCUGUGUCUAUAUGGUUAUUGCGGAUGUUCUGUCGUGGUAGCAGCCUUGCCGGCUUGCAUAUGUUAUCGUUUCGUAGUGGCAGCCUUGUCGGUUUGCGUAAUGUACUGAUAUGUAGUGGCAGCCUUGUCGGCUUGCGUAGUAUAAUGAUAUAUAUACAGUGGCAGCCUCGUCGGUUUGCGGAUGUUAUUUCAAUAUGAUUGAUUGAGGACCUAUAGUAUCAGUCCGGUUAUGUUGUCAGGUACAUGUGGGUGUCCAGCUCGGGCACUAGUCAUGGCCCACGGGGCUGGGUCAUGACAAAAAGUAACGAGCAAUCACUUGUACUUGUAAG
Molecule: long non-coding RNA, 855 nt
Organism: Lycium barbarum (goji berry)
Lineage: Eukaryota; Viridiplantae; Streptophyta; Magnoliopsida; Solanales; Solanaceae
Exons: 3
Source: RefSeq, a predicted model, not a curated record